This 75-nucleotide transfer RNA is filed under the name Candidatus Woesearchaeota archaeon CG10_big_fil_rev_8_21_14_0_10_37_12. RNAcentral's name for it is "tRNA-Arg". It matches the Rfam family "tRNA". Rfam says of the family: Transfer RNA (tRNA) molecules are approximately 80 nucleotides in length. Lineage: Archaea; Nanobdellati; Candidatus Woesearchaeota. The record is from RNAcentral.
GGGCCGUUAGCUCAGCUUGGAUAGAGCACUUGCCUUCUAAGCAAGGGGUCGAGGGUUCGAAUCCCUUACGGCCCG